UACGUAGGGUGCGAGCGUUAAUCGGAAUUACUGGGCGUAAAGCGUGCGCAGGCGGUUCGUUAUGUCCGAUGUGAAAGCCCCGAGCUCAACUUGGGAAUGGCAUUGGAAACUGGCGGGCUGGAGUGUGGCAGAGGGGGGUGGAAUUCCACGUGUAGCAGUGAAAUGCGUAGAGAUGUGGAGGAACACCGAUGGCGAAGGCAGCCCCCUGGGCUAACACUGACGCUCAGGCACGAAAGCGUGGGGAGCAAACAGG
RNAcentral lists this ribosomal RNA (253 nucleotides) under uncultured bacterium. Its description in RNAcentral is "partial 16S ribosomal RNA". It matches the Rfam family "Bacterial small subunit ribosomal RNA", at positions 524 to 776 of the family's 1533-position model. The record is from RNAcentral.